UACCGUUCGUGAUGACGGUACCAUUUGUAAGCUCCGGCUAACUCCGUGCCAGCAGCCGCGGUAAUACGGGGGGAGCAAGCGUUGUUCGGAUUUACUGGGCGUAAAGGGCGCGUAGGCGGCCAGCGCAAGUCAGUUGUGAAAUCUCCGGGCUUAACUCGGAAAGGUCAACUGAUACUGCGCGGCUAGAGUGCGGAAGGGGCAACUGGAAUUCUCGGUGUAGCGGUGAAAUGCGUAGAUAUCGAGAGGAACACCUGCGGCGAAGGCGGGUUGCUGGGCCGACACUGACGCUGAGGCGCGAAAGCCAGGGGAGCGAACGGGAUUAGAUACCCCGGUAGUCCUGGCCUUAAACGAUGGAUGCUUGGUGUCUGGGGUUUUAUAGUCCCCGGGUGCCGUANCUAACGCGUUAAGCAUCCCGCCUGGGGAGUACGGUCGCAAGACUGAAACUCAAA
This 449-nucleotide ribosomal RNA is filed under the name uncultured bacterium. Its description in RNAcentral is "bacterial SSU rRNA". It matches the Rfam family "Bacterial small subunit ribosomal RNA", at positions 458 to 905 of the family's 1533-position model. The record is from RNAcentral.